UGAGGAGCGAAAGCGUGGGGAGCGAACAGGAUUAGAUACCCUGGUAGUCCACGCCGUAAACGAUGAGUGCUAAGUGUUAGGGGGUUUCCGCCCCUUAGUGCUGCAGCUAACGCAUUAAGCACUCCGCCUGGGGAGUACGGUCGCAAGACUGAAACUCAAAGGAAUUGACGGGGGCCCGCACAAGCGGUGGAGCAUGUGGUUUAAUUCGAAGCAACGCGAAGAACCUUACCAGGUCUUGACAUCCUCUGACAAUCCUAGAGAUAGGACGUCCCCUUCGGGGGCAGAGUGACAGGUGGUGCAUGGUUGUCGUCAGCUCGUGUCGUGAGAUGUUGGGUUAAGUCCCGCAACGAGCGCAACCCUUGAUCUUAGUUGCCAGCAUUCAGUUGGGCACUCUAAGGUGACUGCCGGUGACAAACCGGAGGAAGGUGGGGAUGACGUCAAAUCAUCAUGCCCCUUAUGACCUGGCGCUACACACGUGCUACAAUGGACAGAACAAAGGGCAGCGAUACCGCGAGGUUAAGCGAAUCCCACAAAUCUGUUCUCAGUUCGGAUCGCAGUCUGCAACUCGACUGCGUGAAGCUGGAAUCGCUAGUAAUCGCGGAUCAGCAUGCCGCGGUGAAUACGUUC
Molecule: ribosomal RNA, 627 nt
Filed under: Bacillus subtilis
Lineage: Bacteria; Bacillati; Bacillota; Bacilli; Caryophanales; Bacillaceae
Description: bacterial SSU rRNA
Rfam family: Bacterial small subunit ribosomal RNA
Source: RNAcentral